RNAcentral lists this unclassified non-coding RNA (1303 nucleotides) under Leishmania donovani. RNAcentral's name for it is "gene:unknown". Lineage: Eukaryota; Euglenozoa; Kinetoplastea; Trypanosomatida; Trypanosomatidae. The record is from RNAcentral.
ACUGUGUCGUGCGUGUAAUGAUUCGUCCAGUAUGUGCGUGUGUGUGUGCAUGCCCCGUACGCGCGCCCUGCUGGUGGCGCUCGCUCUUUUUCUCGCCUCCUCUCCCCGGUCGCUUACAUUUCUUUGUUUGGUUCUUCACUUCCGACCGGUGCACCGGCCCUCGUCUGUAUAUCAGCAGUCGAAUGCCGAGGUCAUGCUGAAUGCCCUUUUCCUCCACUUCUUUUUCUGGAGACCAGCCGUGUGUCUCGGUCGGUGUGUGUAGGCCUCUUUUCUCUCCCCUUACUGUAAUGUGUACCUGAAAAAUACCCCUCUCCCGUCGUUUCUCGGCAAAGAGGAGACAAGGGGAAAAGAAAGGAAAGCAGACGGUGCUGUUGAGAGUUUCUGGAGUUGCCCUGAUGCGUGGAGGCGCUGUCGUUUAGCGGCGGGGGGUACAGAGAGCCGGCUGGUGCUUUGUUUUGUGCGUAUGGGCGCCUGCGGACCAUCUACGCUUGUGUGACUUUGCCUCUUUCGAGGCGUGCCGUCACCCUGAUCGACUCUGCUCUCAUUCACACAGGAGUAUCACAAGAGUUGGAAUCAGCUACAGAGAUUCGACUCCAUCACAAUUUUUUUUCCCUUUACCCCGUAUUUCUACGCAAUAGUUGCCGGAUCAUUUUUUCUCUUCUACGAGAUGUGUGCGGGGUACGGCCAGCUUUUCCUUUUCUGAUCUUCCAUGACGGAUCUUUCCGUUGUUGCUGCCUCUGUACACAUUUGGCGCCUUCCUCCCACUCGUGGAGGUCUGACUCGGAACGAUGACGCGCUAGCAGGGACUGGAAAUCACUUUAGAGGUCGUGACAAUGGGUGGCGUGUUUUCUGGUCUCGCCGCGCACGUCGGUAGUGGUCGACGGUUGCUUGCAUCGCUUUGGCGGCGCUUCCUUUACAAGAUCACUCUGAUCCUCCUCGGGCACCGCAGGUGCUCCGCAUAUCGUGAACCCUUCACCGGUGCGUAGGAGGACGUCGCAAAUCCGUUACCGGAGACACCCUUUGCUCCGAGUCUCUUUUUUUCUCUUGCGUGCUCUCUUUUGUGCCUUUGGCGCUGUACUGACGACUUUCGAUUGUCUCUAGUACAGAAGCGUUUGUGUUCCGGCUCCCCAUUUCCUUCUCGACUACACGUAUCGAGAGGUGUAGAACAGGACGCGUAUCGGUCGAUGGCGCAACAACAAACCAUCAGGAAUUGCUUCUUGGACCGUACAGUUUCCUCGGUUCCAGACACACAGCUCCCACUCAUGCGCGACUGCGGCGGUCGCUUUUACUUCAUUUCAGCACC